RNAcentral lists this long non-coding RNA (708 nucleotides) under Sinocyclocheilus grahami. RNAcentral describes it as "lncRNA (ENSSGRG00000031054.1)". The record is from RNAcentral. Lineage: Eukaryota; Metazoa; Chordata; Actinopteri; Cypriniformes; Cyprinidae.
GUGAUCUGUGGUCAGUUCAUAUAAACUCUGAUUUACUGUUGAAACUUUGGUUCAUGAAGUCGCACUCAAUCACAGAACAGUGUUUAUAUGAAUGUUGGUCAGUCAGUGUGUACUGUAAGUGUGUAAGUGUGUGUGUGUGUGUGUGUGUGUGUUCAGUGUGGCAGCGGCGAGAGACGAGUAUCUUCAGAGGAGACGUGAAGCCCAUCAGUACAAACUCAGAGCUCAGAAACAACUGGGUCUCAGACCGUCCACAGCAGACGCUGAAGGCCGUCAGACAAACCCACAGGAGCAUCAUGGGAACGUCAGAGCGGCUCAGGACAGGAGACUGCAGGGACAGGAGGAGUAUCUGAAGCAGCUGCGGCGAAUCAGAGAGCAGUAUCAUCAUGAUGUCAGACGGAUGAGGACGAGGGCAGAGCUCGAGGAGCGUCUGACAGCAGAAACACACACACUGAAGAAGAACGGAGAGAGACACACACACGGGAAACAGCAGCAGGUGCAAACACACACACACCAGACACCACCAGAAACAGAGAACAAAUUUAGCUCAUAAAAACAUUUCAAAACAAAGUUUUUAAGACACUGAAAAUCCAAUUCUUGAUAUGAUUCAAACGUUAUUAAAAGGUUGCAAAAAUGUUUCUUACAGCACAAAAUAUUACCCAAAAUAUAACAUUAUUUGACAUUUUCGUCAAGUACAAAUAAUAUAAGGAC